GGGCCCGCACAAGCAGCGGAGCAUGUGGUUUAAUUCGAAGCAACGCGAAGAACCUUACCAAGGCUUGACAUCCAAUUAAAGCUGUGGAAACGCAGUGUCCCUUCGGGGGAAUUGAGACAGGUGGUGCAUGGUUGUCGUCAGCUCGUGUCGUGAGAUGUUGGGUUAAGUCCCGCAACGAGCGCAACCCCUGUUGCCAGUUACCAGCGCGUAAAGGCGGGAACUCUGGUGAGACUGCCGGGGACAACUCGGAGGAAGGUGGGGACGACGUCAAAUCAUCAUGCCCCUUACGUCUUGGGCUACACACGUGCUACAAUGGCUGUAACAAAGGGAAGCGACGGCGCAAGCCGAAGCGGAUCUCAGAAAAGCAGUCCCAGUUCGGAUUGUGGGCUGCAACCCGCCCACAUGAAGUCGGAGUUGCUAGUAAUCGCGGAUCAGAAUGCCG
RNAcentral lists this ribosomal RNA (442 nucleotides) under uncultured Bacillota bacterium. RNAcentral's name for it is "bacterial SSU rRNA". It matches the Rfam family "Bacterial small subunit ribosomal RNA", at positions 917 to 1359 of the family's 1533-position model. Lineage: Bacteria; Bacillati; Bacillota. The record is from RNAcentral.